Varanus komodoensis (Komodo dragon) is the source of this 4096-nucleotide RNA transcript. It is a transcript of the gene named Rab interacting lysosomal protein, with no coding region annotated. NCBI's taxonomy places the organism in Eukaryota, Metazoa, Chordata, Lepidosauria, Squamata, Varanidae. The transcript is spliced from 7 exons. The record is from RefSeq and is a predicted model, not a curated record.
GCGCCGGGCCCGCUUGGCGCGCUGCCUGCGCCGGCUCGUGAUUGCGCUCGGGACUUUUCUGGCGGGCUCCUCCCGAAUUGCCUCCCGCAAUAAAGCGGAGCAUAAAACAGUACAGAACGCACUGGGCAUAAAUUGACUUACAGUACUAAAAAGGACCUUUGGUACAAUUGCCGGCACGAACCAGAGCCGACCGGUAAGGCCGUAAUUGGGAAGGCUGGGUUGAACAAACAUGCUUUCAGGACGGUUCUGCUGUCUAAACCUUUUUAUUCCUGAAAUACAAACAAACCAACCCCAGUGCAUUUAACAUACAAGCAUUAAGUAAGGACAGUAAUCAUUAUUCUACUGCGCUUCCUAGCAGCAGAACCAGGAAUGCAUGUCAAAUAAAAGAAGAAAAAAAAACUCCGGUUUUUUGGAGUUUGGAGUUUUCCUUGUUGCUUUAAGUGAAUCCUAUUGAUUCUGUUCCUCUAACGUUAUUUUCUAAAUUUUAUUUACUAUCCUUUUCAUCCACAUAUUUUGUUUUUUCUUUCCUAUAAUCAUAGCUUUAAAUUUUAUGUAAUCCCUGCAUUCACUCCUUUUUCUCUCUUCCGGCAUUCCAAGUGAAUCGCAUUAUAUCAAGUUAGACUUCAGGGCAUUCCUGGAAGCACUCUGGGAGGGGGGCUGGCGGACCCCUGAUGGCUACCCCUUGGGAAGCAGUGCAGAGGCUGAAUUCUGCCCCGUGCCUAGCGUGAGCCUCCUUGAGGCCUUAAACUGAAAGCAAAACCAGUGAGAAAGGUUGCAACGCUUUUCUUUUUAGCUCUCGCUUUUCUUUUUAGCUCUCGCUUUUCUUUUUAGCUCUCAGGCUUCCCUUUCGCUUCUUGGUGGGUGACAGCGUGCCUAGUUUAAACCGGUUUGGCUCCAGGCCAGCCUGCUCCAAGGCCUUCCUUGCUUCAGUCGUGUGCCAUCCGUGGCAACGAAAGUCUUGGGCAGGGCGAGGAGACACAUUUGAAAAAUAAUUGCCGGAGAACGAGCCUCUUACACCUUUAGUUUGGUUAAGGCCCUGAGAUUUUUUGCUGGUGUUUUAGAAUACCUGACCUCGCAAUGGGAAGUUCCACAGGUACGGCACCUGUGCAGGUGUGUUUCCCUUGGAAUGAGGUCAGCGUAGGCAUUCGGUGUGUUGCAACUCCGUAUUUUAUUUACAGCUGUGUAAGUUGAGCCUGGGUGGGGACCCAGCUUAAAAGACUCCAGCUGGCAGGCAGGUCCAGCACCCGAUACUAUCUCGAAAGGGCAGUGUCGAAAUGCCCUUUGCAUACCAGCUGGACGCUCAGCUCCCACUGCCCCGGGUCUUCCUCUGUCUCAAAUAUUCAGCAUUUUCCCUUUCAUGCAGAUGCCCAGAUGCAUCAGUUUGGCUGGGGCACAGUGGGCGGGGGAGGAAGCCUCUUUUUGGUACUGUUUGGAGCUGAUGGCGCAAUCAGCCAGUCUUGCUAGUGGAAGGAAAGUCCUUGGCAGCUAUUCCAGGUCAGCAGUAUGUGUGGCUCUGUUUACCCUUUCUGGUCCGCGCUUCCCGUCUAGCUACAGCAUAGCCCAAUCUGGUUUCUCAGUUCCCUUCCCACCCCAGCCCCAAGGCGGUUUCCAGUUGCAAGCGGCCGAGCUUGAGUGGAAUGAAGCGGAGCCCAGAGCCAGUAAAACAACACUCUCCAAACGGAGGAAAGGAAACUGAAGUCCCGUGUUCCCUCCAUGCUCUGUGAAAGCCACAUGCUCAGUGGCAGGAUGAGGCGUUUCGCUUUGUUCAUGCAAAUCCCCUCGUGUUUGUAUGAAUAAAGCCAAAGGCCUGGAGGGUGUGGGGACGCCUUGGAGUGCAGCUCCCAGAGUUCCUGACCAUUGGUCGCGUUGCCGGGCCUGAUGGGAGCUGUAGUCUGAAGCGUCCAUGCAGAGAGCGCCACUGCAACUGCCCGGGGAAGUCCAUCCUGUGUGGGAGGUGGCAGAGCAGACACUGGGAAAGCGUUAACUCGGCGAAGCGCUGCAGUGAGAGUGCUCGGAUUGCAUGCGCAGGAGCAUCGCGGGGACCUGGGAUUGUUGCGAUGGGCUGAGCCCCCCGAGCAGGGAGCCGGCCGAGGGUUGCCGCCCUGGGACCGCUACCUGCCGUUCUCUCCUGGCUGCACCCAGAUAGCACCUGGAGCAAGGAGAGGGAGGUGAUGCUGCGGCUCAAGGAGGUGGUGGAUAAGCAGCGCGAUGAGAUCCGCCAGCAGGCCCGAGACAUCCUCUCCCGGACCCGGGACGCGGAAGCGCUGCAGGAGCAGCUCGGCCGCUUCAUGUCCGUGAACGAAGAGCUCCGCCGCAAGCUGGCUGUAGUGCAGGCGCAGCUCAGGAGCGCCCUGGAUCAGAAGGAGGAGCUGGACAGCCUGCUGCUGGAGGCCCGCCGGGAGGCUGAGGGGCUGCGUGGGUCCGUGGCCACCCCAGAGCCAUCCAGGAUGGAUGCCAUGGAGGGCACCGAGGUGGUCGCGACGUUGAGCAGGGGGCUGCCUGGACGGGGCUCCUUCUCCCGGGAAGAGCUGCAGCAGAUCCUGCAGGAGCGCAACGAGCUGAAGACCAACCUCUUCCUGGUGCAGGAGGAGCUGGCCUUUUACCAGCGGGAACUGCUGAAUGACCAGCGGAUCCCGAGCAUCCUCCUGCGCGCUGUGAAGUCCACCAUCAAGAAGCAGCGCCGGAAGAUCCGGGCCAAGAUGCUGGGGACUGCGGAAGACCAGGAGAGCAGCGAGGAGGAGGCGGAGGAGUGGCUGAUGGGCCCCGCGGACGCUGUGGAUGGCCACCUGCCCGAGCCCGGAAUUAGGAGCUUUUUUAGCCUGUGGUAUCGCCAAAGCAGCAAAAGCAGCACAGCGGAAGGCGGCUCUGGAGCCUGGGAGAUCGUCAACCCGCGAGACACGUGUCCGAAGGAGGGCGAAGGGGAGCCGGAGCAGCAAGCGCCUUCCUGUAGCUCCAGCUCUCCCGGCGGAGCCUCAUCCCUCGCCUGAGCCGGGCCGCCAGUCGGAUCCGGGGCAGCGCCCUGCUGGGGCUGGCCACACGCUGCCGGAGCUCCGGCCCCAUGGCCCUGGCACAGUCCAGCCAGGUUGGAGAGGGGCCGCAUGGGCCGCGGGGGAAGGUCGAAGGCACCCCUCCCCGCAUUGGCUCGCCUCUCACGGGCCAGCGUGAGGCCGCAGCCGGCACCAGAGCGGGGGCGCGUGGCGGGGGGAGAGGAGGUGCUUGCAAGCGCUGAGGAGCGGCAGGACAGCAGUAGCUGGGUGUGCCAGGGCGGUCCCCUCGCACAGGUGUGUGCAAGCCCGGCCUCCUUUGCUCUGCGUAGUGUGCAGACGUGGGAGAAGACGUGGGUGUCCCAGGGCACGGAUUCCUGCCAGCUGCAGAGAGCAGAGCCAGGGAGAAGCCGGGCUGCUUUGUCUAUUAGGUGAGGGGAUUCCGCAUGGACUGUGUCAGGCCCUUUGGGGAUGUGGAGGGCAGAAGCGCUGUCUGAGCUGCCCCCCGAUCCAGUGGGCUCAUGAUUACAUCUCAAAGUGUCUCCCGACCUGGUGCCUCUGCUUGGGAAUAUGCCUAUGGAAAGGACCGUUAUUCCGCUGGCCUGCAGGCGUAUCCGGUGCUGAACGUUAACAUCUGGAUAGACAGAAUGCUAAACGUGGGACGGGGCAGGCGGGCCGCCCUCGCCUGUCCAGCGCAGCCACAGGCGCCGUCGCCACAGCCGGUGCAGGAGGGCCCCUUCCCCGUCUGCGCUGCCGUUCCCGGGACCAGCUCUGCGCUCUAUGUCGGGAACGAGGCCUGCGAGGAAACGCAUCUGGCCAGUGGAGGAUCCCGGGCAACGGGGCCCCUUCGGAUCCCCGCACGCUUGGAAAUGGAUUGGGAGCCCGUGGAAAGCUUUUCUGUUAAGACUGCCAACCUGGUGUCCCAGCAGCCUUAAUCUGGACAUACGUGGAGACAUGCAAUUAUGAUGGGUUGUAGUUGUACACAACAGACAGUGGUGGAUUCUGGGCAGGCACGGAAACCCAGACAAUGCGCAGCCAUGGUGAUUCUUCAGUUGGUUUCUGAAAUGCAUCUCCAAUUUCUGGCUUCAAAAUACCAUCUGCUUAAUUUGAAA